RNAcentral lists this ribosomal RNA (468 nucleotides) under uncultured bacterium. RNAcentral's name for it is "partial 16S ribosomal RNA". It matches the Rfam family "Bacterial small subunit ribosomal RNA", at positions 28 to 507 of the family's 1533-position model. The record is from RNAcentral.
GACGAACGCUGGCGGCGUGCUUAACACAUGCAAGUCGAACGGAAAGGCCCUGCUUUUGUGGGGUGCUCGAGUGGCGAACGGGUGAGUAACACGUGAGUAACCUGCCCUUGACUUUGGGAUAACUUCAGGAAACUGGGGCUAAUACCGGAUAGGAGCUCCUGCUGCAUGGUGGGGGUUGGAAAGUUUCGGCGGUUGGGGAUGGACUCGCGGCUUAUCAGCUUGUUGGUGGGGUAGUGGCUUACCAAGGCUUUGACGGGUAGCCGGCCUGAGAGGGUGACCGGCCACGUUGGGACUGAGAUACGGCCCAGACUCCUACGGGAGGCAGCAGUGGGGAAUAUUGCACAAUGGGCGGAAGCCUGAUGCAGCAACGCCGCGUGCGGGAUGACGGCCUUCGGGUUGUAAACCGCUUUCACCUGUGACGAAGCGUGAGUGACGGUAAUGGGUAAAGAAGCACCGGCUAACUACGUG